Molecule: long non-coding RNA, 1346 nt
Filed under: Vulpes vulpes (red fox)
Lineage: Eukaryota; Metazoa; Chordata; Mammalia; Carnivora; Canidae
Description: lncRNA (ENSVVUG00000015141.1)
Source: RNAcentral
AAAAUUAUUAAUAAUUCCAACCUAGAAGGGUUUUGUGAGGGGUACACUUGUUAAUACCUAUUAGGCAAUUAGAAGAGGGUCUGGCAUGUAUGAGCUACUAAGUGAAGGAAGGUGGGAAAUGUUUCUACAUAUUUAUUAGUCAGGAGGCAGUUGGGAAAAGGAACCACAUUCGUUGAUUUAGAUUUGAUUGAUUGAUUGAGAUGGGGGAGGGUCAGAAGGAGAGAGCAAAUCUCAAGGAGACUCCUCGGUGAGCACAGGGCCCAACUUGGGGUUCGAUCUCACGACCUGCCCGAGUUGGACGCUUAACCGAGCCUCCCAGGGGCCCCAAUGUUUGUUCCUUUAACAAAGAGCUGAGUACAGAGAAUUGUGAAAUGGGUAUCGCAGGACAAAAAUGGGGUAAAGCAGACCAUGCGGAGGGUGGGGGGGAGAGAGGAAGAGGGGAACGGCAGGAAGCAGUGGCCCCACCUCCCCUGGUAACAGUGAUUGGAGGGAGAGGCUGGUGGGCUGCCGGAAGCCCAGGGAGUGGGACCCUUAGCAGACGGUUUAAAGAUAGGCCUAGGGAUGCCCAGCUGGCUCAGUCGGUGGACCAUGCACCUCUUGAUCUCAGGGUUGUGUGUUCAAGCCCCACAUUGAGUGUAGAGAUUACUUAAAAGAAAUAAAAUAUUUAAAAAGAAAAUAAAAAUUAAAGGUAGGCCUGAAUGAAAGUGUGGCCAGAGGAGGGAGAAAAGCGGGACAGGUGGCACAAUAGACUUCAGCACGUGAGAAGGGGUGUGGUCCAGCCACAGCCGUGGGAGUGGGGGCUGAGGUCAGCUGAGGCUGCAGAAUGUUCUAGGCCAGAGAGAGAUUGUGGCAGGCAUCCAGUUCCCAGAUCCCAAGGUCCUACACGUUCUCAGAAGGAGUGGGAGCCCGGAAGAUUGUGAGUGGAGACAGAGAUGUUCCAGAGGAGGAGAGGGGGAGCCUCUCACCCCCACAGCACAGAGCAGGGAGGGCUUUGCAGGAGGAAGACAGGUGUUUUGGAGGCUGUGUGGGGAGUUGGUGGGAUGAGGACGCUAUGCCUGUCAGGGCAGGAGUCAGGGCCCGUGAGGGGGCAGCUCUGGGGUCCAACACACCUGCACUCAGUCCUGGUUCUGCUGGUUCACCUGGCUCACCUGGGGCAGUCCCUCAUCCCACGCCUGUGUUUCUUCUUUAUUUUAUUUUAUUUUAUUUUAUUUUAUUUAUUCAUGAGAGACAGAGGCAGAGACACAGGCAGAGGGAGAAGCAGGUGCCCUUCAGGGAGCCCGAUGUGGGACCCGAUCCCAGGACCCCAGGAUCACGCCCUGAGCCAAAGGCAGAUGCUCAACCACUGA